ACUGGUCUGCUGGAUGUGUGGGAAACAAACACGCUUCCCAUCCCUCCAGAGAAACUGCAAGAGUUUCAGUGCUUUCACCCAGUGUGCCAUGUGUGCAAAGCUGGUGUUGGAGAGCGUACAAGAGUGAAGAGAAAGCUGAAGAGGAAGAGAUCUAGAGAGGUAAGAAGAUGGACCACUAACUUUCAGGGAGAGAAAACUGCGAAGGAGGAAGCUGCAAAGAAGGAAGCUGCGAAGGAGGAAGCUGCAAAGGAGGAAGCUGUGAAGGAGGAUGAGACCAGAAUAAGAUGAUCUACAUCUACCUCCUGCAAAUAAAACUUGUUUAUUUGAUGCAGUCACUGUGUCCUGUGGUUCAAUCCGCAUUACCGGCUUUGUAUUCCUGUGGUUAAGCAGCAU
Molecule: long non-coding RNA, 393 nt
Organism: Branchiostoma belcheri (Belcher's lancelet)
Lineage: Eukaryota; Metazoa; Chordata; Leptocardii; Amphioxiformes; Branchiostomatidae
Exons: 3
Source: RefSeq, a predicted model, not a curated record